This 253-nucleotide ribosomal RNA is filed under the name uncultured bacterium. RNAcentral describes it as "partial 16S ribosomal RNA". It matches the Rfam family "Bacterial small subunit ribosomal RNA", at positions 524 to 776 of the family's 1533-position model. The record is from RNAcentral.
UACGAAUCGUCCAAACGUUGUUCGGAUUCACUGGGUUUAAAGGGCGCGUAGGCGGUGCGUUAAGUCGGCGGUGAAAUACUUCGGCUCAACCGGAGAAUUGCCGCUGAAACUGGCGUGCUCGAGGAAGGUAGAGGUGCGUGGAACUUCCGGUGGAGCGGUGAAAUGCGUUGAUAUCGGAAGGAACACCUGUGGCGAAAGCGAUGCACUGGACCUUUUCUGACGCUGAGGCGCGAAAGCCAGGGGAGCGAACGGG